RNAcentral lists this ribosomal RNA (2900 nucleotides) under Escherichia coli 1827-70. RNAcentral describes it as "23S ribosomal RNA". Lineage: Bacteria; Pseudomonadati; Pseudomonadota; Gammaproteobacteria; Enterobacterales; Enterobacteriaceae. The record is from RNAcentral.
AAGGUUAAGCCUCACGGUUCAUUAGUACCGGUUAGCUCAACGCAUCGCUGCGCUUACACACCCGGCCUAUCAACGUCGUCGUCUUCAACGUUCCUUCAGGACUCUCAAGGAGUCAGGGAGAACUCAUCUCGGGGCAAGUUUCGUGCUUAGAUGCUUUCAGCACUUAUCUCUUCCGCAUUUAGCUACCGGGCAGUGCCAUUGGCAUGACAACCCGAACACCAGUGAUGCGUCCACUCCGGUCCUCUCGUACUAGGAGCAGCCCCCCUCAGUUCUCCAGCGCCCACGGCAGAUAGGGACCGAACUGUCUCACGACGUUCUAAACCCAGCUCGCGUACCACUUUAAAUGGCGAACAGCCAUACCCUUGGGACCUACUUCAGCCCCAGGAUGUGAUGAGCCGACAUCGAGGUGCCAAACACCGCCGUCGAUAUGAACUCUUGGGCGGUAUCAGCCUGUUAUCCCCGGAGUACCUUUUAUCCGUUGAGCGAUGGCCCUUCCAUUCAGAACCACCGGAUCACUAUGACCUGCUUUCGCACCUGCUCGCGCCGUCACGCUCGCAGUCAAGCUGGCUUAUGCCAUUGCACUAACCUCCUGAUGUCCGACCAGGAUUAGCCAACCUUCGUGCUCCUCCGUUACUCUUUAGGAGGAGACCGCCCCAGUCAAACUACCCACCAGACACUGUCCGCAACCCGGAUUACGGGUCAACGUUAGAACAUCAAACAUUAAAGGGUGGUAUUUCAAGGUCGGCUCCAUGCAGACUGGCGUCCACACUUCUAAGCCUCCCACCUAUCCUACACAUCAAGGCUCAAUGUUCAGUGUCAAGCUAUAGUAAAGGUUCACGGGGUCUUUCCGUCUUGCCGCGGGUACACUGCAUCUUCACAGCGAGUUCAAUUUCACUGAGUCUCGGGUGGAGACAGCCUGGCCAUCAUUACGCCAUUCGUGCAGGUCGGAACUUACCCGACAAGGAAUUUCGCUACCUUAGGACCGUUAUAGUUACGGCCGCCGUUUACCGGGGCUUCGAUCAAGAGCUUCGCUUGCGCUGACCCCAUCAAUUAACCUUCCGGCACCGGGCAGGCGUCACACCGUAUACGUCCACUUUCGUGUUUGCACAGUGCUGUGUUUUAAUAAACAGUUGCAGCCAGCUGGUAUCUUCGACUGAUUUCAGCUCCAUCCGCGAGGGACUUCACCUACAUAUCAGCGUGCCUUCUCCCGAAGUUACGGCACCAUUUUGCCUAGUUCCUUCACCCGAGUUCUCUCAAGCGCCUUGGUAUUCUCUACCUGACCACCUGUGUCGGUUUGGGGUACGAUUUGAUGUUACCUGAUGCUUAGAGGCUUUUCCUGGAAGCAGGGCAUUUGUUGCUUCAGCACCGUAGUGCCUCGUCAUCACGCCUCAGCCUUGAUUUUCCGGAUUUGCCUGGAAAACCAGCCUACACGCUUAAACCGGGACAACCGUCGCCCGGUCAACAUAGCCUUCUCCGUCCCCCUUCGCAGUAACACCAAGUACAGGAAUAUUAACCUGUUUCCCAUCGACUACGCCUUUCGGCCUCGCCUUAGGGGUCGACUCACCCUGCCCCGAUUAACGUUGGACAGGAACCCUUGGUCUUCCGGCGAGCGGGCUUUUCACCCGCUUUAUCGUUACUUAUGUCAGCAUUCGCACUUCUGAUACCUCCAGCAUGCCUCACAGCACACCUUCACAGGCUUACAGAACGCUCCCCUACCCAACAACGCAUAAGCGUCGCUGCCGCAGCUUCGGUGCAUGGUUUAGCCCCGUUACAUCUUCCGCGCAGGCCGACUCGACCAGUGAGCUAUUACGCUUUCUUUAAAUGAUGGCUGCUUCUAAGCCAACAUCCUGGCUGUCUGGGCCUUCCCACAUCGUUUCCCACUUAACCAUGACUUUGGGACCUUAGCUGGCGGUCUGGGUUGUUUCCCUCUUCACGACGGACGUUAGCACCCGCCGUGUGUCUCCCGUGAUAACAUUCUCCGGUAUUCGCAGUUUGCAUCGGGUUGGUAAGUCGGGAUGACCCCCUUGCCGAAACAGUGCUCUACCCCCGGAGAUGAAUUCACGAGGCGCUACCUAAAUAGCUUUCGGGGAGAACCAGCUAUCUCCCGGUUUGAUUGGCCUUUCACCCCCAGCCACAAGUCAUCCGCUAAUUUUUCAACAUUAGUCGGUUCGGUCCUCCAGUUAGUGUUACCCAACCUUCAACCUGCCCAUGGCUAGAUCACCGGGUUUCGGGUCUAUACCCUGCAACUUAACGCCCAGUUAAGACUCGGUUUCCCUUCGGCUCCCCUAUUCGGUUAACCUUGCUACAGAAUAUAAGUCGCUGACCCAUUAUACAAAAGGUACGCAGUCACACGCCUAAGCGUGCUCCCACUGCUUGUACGUACACGGUUUCAGGUUCUUUUUCACUCCCCUCGCCGGGGUUCUUUUCGCCUUUCCCUCACGGUACUGGUUCACUAUCGGUCAGUCAGGAGUAUUUAGCCUUGGAGGAUGGUCCCCCCAUAUUCAGACAGGAUACCACGUGUCCCGCCCUACUCAUCGAGCUCACAGCAUGUGCAUUUUUGUGUACGGGGCUGUCACCCUGUAUCGCGCGCCUUUCCAGACGCUUCCACUAACACACACACUGAUUCAGGCUCUGGGCUGCUCCCCGUUCGCUCGCCGCUACUGGGGGAAUCUCGGUUGAUUUCUUUUCCUCGGGGUACUUAGAUGUUUCAGUUCCCCCGGUUCGCCUCAUUAACCUAUGGAUUCAGUUAAUGAUAGUGUGUCGAAACACACUGGGUUUCCCCAUUCGGAAAUCGCCGGUUAUAACGGUUCAUAUCACCUUACCGACGCUUAUCGCAGAUUAGCACGUCCUUCAUCGCCUCUGACUGCCAGGGCAUCCACCGUGUACGCUUAGUCGCUUAA